This is a long non-coding RNA of Thalassophryne amazonica, 143 nucleotides long. RefSeq lists it as uncharacterized. The record is from RefSeq and is a predicted model, not a curated record. NCBI's taxonomy places the organism in Eukaryota, Metazoa, Chordata, Actinopteri, Batrachoidiformes, Batrachoididae. The transcript is spliced from 3 exons.
ACGACCCGAACCCUGACGUUCUCAGCAAGACUGGUUUCACUCCUCUCCACAUUGCUGCUCACUAUGAGAAUCUGAGUGUCGCCCAGCUGCUGCUUAACAGAGGAGCCAAUGUAAACUUCACCCCGAAGAAUGGCAUCACACCC